UACGAAGGGGGCUAGCGUUGCUCGGAAUCACUGGGCGUAAAGGGUGCGUAGGCGGGUUUUUAAGUCAGGGGUGAAAUCCUGGAGCUCAACUCCAGAACUGCCUUUGGUACUGAAGAUCUUGAGUCCGGGAGAGGUGAGUGGAACUGCGAGUGUAGAGGUGAAAUUCGUAGAUAUUCGCAAGAACACCAGUGGCGAAGGCGGCUCACUGGCCCGGUACUGACGCUGAGGCACGAAAGCGUGGGGAGCAAACAGG
Molecule: ribosomal RNA, 253 nt
Filed under: uncultured bacterium
Lineage: Bacteria
Description: partial 16S ribosomal RNA
Rfam family: Bacterial small subunit ribosomal RNA
Source: RNAcentral